GGACUCCGCACUGCCGCUGUCCACCUGCAGAGGGGGGAAGAGAGUCUAGUCUAUUAAGUGUGAGACAGUGGAGGCCCUGGGAAGGAAAAUACCAUGAAAUUCAAUAGCUAUGUAUGUGUUCUGGUAGCUCAGUCUAGAUUGAUCUACAUUUACCAAACUGCUACAGCACUGUCAAAAAAAAUGAUGGAUUCUUCAGCCAGUUCCCCUGUAACCUUGUACACUUAGGUACAUUGCAUCCAUCACAGUACUCGACAAGUAUUGUUAUUCAUUCAAGUUGCUGUGGUAACCUAAGCACAAGUGCAGAUAGACUUGAAUUUUAGGUAUGAUCCAAUAAAAGCCUAUUUGGUAUGUCACCAUAUUAUACAGUCUCUCUGGUCUAAGUGUCGAACAAUAUAAGUGGACACAUAGGCCAUUCACCUUACAGUGCAUUAAGUACAGUAAAUAACACCACUCAUGUUAAGCCUCAAAUUCCAAGCUACACCCAUAGCAAAUACUUAUAAACAGUAAAAAUCAC
This 514-nucleotide long non-coding RNA is filed under the name Rattus norvegicus (Norway rat). Its description in RNAcentral is "long non-coding RNA NONRATT015356". Lineage: Eukaryota; Metazoa; Chordata; Mammalia; Rodentia; Muridae. The record is from RNAcentral.